RNAcentral lists this ribosomal RNA (552 nucleotides) under Vreelandella aquamarina. RNAcentral describes it as "bacterial SSU rRNA". It matches the Rfam family "Bacterial small subunit ribosomal RNA", at positions 86 to 640 of the family's 1533-position model. The record is from RNAcentral. Lineage: Bacteria; Pseudomonadati; Pseudomonadota; Gammaproteobacteria; Oceanospirillales; Halomonadaceae.
UGCUGACGAGCGGCGGACGGGUGAGUAAUGCAUAGGAAUCUGCCCGAUAGUGGGGGAUAACCUGGGGAAACCCAGGCUAAUACCGCAUACGUCCUACGGGAGAAAGGGGGCUCCGGCUCCCGCUAUGGGAUGAGCCUAUGUCGGAUUAGCUAGUUGGUGAGGUAACGGCUCACCAAGGCCACGAUCCGUAGCUGGUCUGAGAGGAUGAUCAGCCACAUCGGGACUGAGACACGGCCCGAACUCCUACGGGAGGCAGCAGUGGGGAAUAUUGGACAAUGGGGGAAACCCUGAUCCAGCCAUGCCGCGUGUGUGAAGAAGGCCCUCGGGUUGUAAAGCACUUUCAGCGAGGAAGAACGCCUGGCGGUUAAUACCCGCUAGGAAAGACAUCACUCGCAGAAGAAGCACCGGCUAACUCCGUGCCAGCAGCCGCGGUAAUACGGAGGGUGCAAGCGUUAAUCGGAAUUACUGGGCGUAAAGCGCGCGUAGGUGGCUUGAUAAGCCGGUUGUGAAAGCCCCGGGCUCAACCUGGGAACGGCAUCCGGAACUGUCAAG